RNAcentral lists this ribosomal RNA (813 nucleotides) under uncultured bacterium. RNAcentral's name for it is "bacterial SSU rRNA". It matches the Rfam family "Bacterial small subunit ribosomal RNA", at positions 28 to 858 of the family's 1533-position model. The record is from RNAcentral.
GGCGAACGCUGGCGGCGUGCCUUAGACAUGCAAGUCGAGCGGUAGGCGUUCCUUCGGGGGCGCCGAGAGCGGCGAACGGCGGAGUAACACGUGGGUAACCUGCCCCGAAGACUGGGAUAACUCGGGGAAACUCGGGCUAAUACCGGAUGUGGAUGCUUUGGCUUUGGCUGAGGCAUCUAAAGGGUUUUCCGCUUCGGGAUGGGCCCGCGGCCUAUCAGGUAGUUGGUGAGGUAACGGCUCACCAAGCCUACGACGGGUAGCCGGUCUGAGAGGAUGAUCGGCCCGAGGGGCACUGAGACACGGGCCCCACUCCUACGGGAGGCAGCAGUCGGGAAUUUUGGGCAAUGGGCGCAAGCCUGACCCAGCGACGCCGCGUGGAGGACGAAGCCCUUCGGGGUGUAAACUCCUUUUAGUGGGGACGAACGCAGACGGUACCCACAGAAAAAGCCCCGGCUAACUACGUGCCAGCAGCCGCGGUAAUACGUAGGGGGCGAGCGUUGCCCGAAUUUACUGGGCGUAAAGCGCACGUAGGCGGCUCCGUAAGUCUGGUGUGAAAUCUCACGGCUCAACCGGGAGGCUGCACCAGAUACUGCGGAGCUCGAGGGCGGGAGAGGAGAUUGGAAUUCCCGGUGUAGCGGUGAAAUGCAUUGAUAUCGGGAGGAACACCAGUGGCGAAGGCGGAUCUCUGGCCCGCUUCUGACGCUGAGGUGCGAAAGCUGGGGGAGCGAAAGGGAUUAGAUACCCCUGUAGUCCCAGCCCUAAACGAUGGGCGCUAGGUGUUGGGGGAUUAACUCUCAGCGCCGUAGCUAACGC